GUGCCAGCCGCCGCGGUAAUACGAAGGGGGCUAGCGUUGUUCGGAUUUACUGGGCGUAAAGCGCGCGCAGGCGGCUUUGCAAGUCAGGGGUGAAAUCCCAGAGCUCAACUCUGGAAUUGCCUUUGAGACUGUGAGGCUUCGAGUACGGGAGAGGUGAGUGGAAUUCCCAGUGUAGAGGUGAAAUUCGUAGAUAUUGGGAAGAACACCGGUGGCGAAGGCGGCUCACUGGCCCGUUACUGACGCUCAGGCGCGACAGCGUGGGGAUCAAACAGGAUUAGAAACCCCGGUAGUCC
Molecule: ribosomal RNA, 293 nt
Filed under: uncultured bacterium
Lineage: Bacteria
Description: partial 16S ribosomal RNA
Rfam family: Bacterial small subunit ribosomal RNA
Source: RNAcentral